GCAAAGUGGACAACCCUUAUCUGAUGUCAGAAAGCCACAUCCAAAACCUCUUGAAAGUUUCUUGAUGUGAGGAGGGAAGUAUGUAGAAAUGGAGAAUGGCUGGUUAUUAUUGAAGGAAUCCCUGAAUGUGUGAAACCCCUGUGGAGAACCAAAUUUGACUCGACUCACUGCAGACGUUUGGUAUAUGGAUGGGUUACCUGUUCCUGCAAACCAGGCUACCAGCUGGCAGCUGUUGAGAAUGGUGUAGAUACAUGUGUUGAUACAGAAAUCAUUCAAGAUGGAGGAUACUGCAGUCUUAAACCCUGUCCUGUGGGAUAUGAAUGCAGAGACAUUGAACACUAUCGGUUCGAUUGCAUCAAAGGAAAUUUUGUUGUACCAAACUGGGCCCAGACACUUCCUAGUAGGAUGCACAUCUUUCAAAGUAUGCUCCGAUCAGCAGCAUGAACCGCAAAUAGAGCCCAGCAACUGGAGAGCAACAGAUGCCUGAAUACCACGUUUUCCAUCUCACUUAGAUAUCCUUGACUCAUACAUCCUGUCUGAGCUAAUGUUAGUUUUCUGAUUGCAGUGUGUCUGGAGUCUCAACAAGGACCUAAGCAAUCCCAAAAGUUUCAAGUAGUACUUGUGCUGAUCUUGACCUUUCAGUCCUUGUUCAAUAGAACAAUUUCCUUCUGAGAUUCAAACUCUAAUUUCACAGACGGACACCCAUUCUAUGAAUUAAAGGUCUACCUUCCCUUAACUAAACUACUGAGACCAGAGGAGCUUGUUUACAUUUUAGGAAAGUGACUCAACCUACCAUAGUGUGAAAUUAGAAUGUCUCCUAAAAUUUCUUGUUCCAUCUUCCAGCAUUCCUAAUGUUCCCACUCUCUCUCUCAGUUGAAGGCCAAUCUACCUAUCCUAUUCUGUAUAAUCAAUCAAUCCAUGGUAUUUAUUGAAUGCUUACUGUGUGCAGAGCACUGUACUAAGCAUUUGGGAGAGUACAACAGAGUUGGUAAAAAAACGCUCCCUACCAAAGCAGAACUUGGUGAUACUGAGAACAAAAUAGCAUGUGGAUUCAAUCCUAAGGAUGAGGGGCAGAUAGAGGAAGUGCGAUGAAAUAUAUUAACCUUAUUCUCUCUAGGAUUAGCCUCUUAUUGAUAGCAAAAGAUAAUUUAGGAAUGCAGAUUAGGGAUAUAUAAUUAUUUAUAUGCCCUCUAAAUGCCCUUCUCAUCUCAUCCUCUAUGUUCCCUUCAAAAGAGUUAUAUUACUAAACAAGAAAGAAUGACUACAGAACUUAGUAAAUGACUCCUAAGCAGCCUGAAAGAAUAAAUAAGGCUCCCUUUUCACCUAGUUUAUUUAACUGUACUUCUGUUCUAAGAUGCUACUGAUGGUGAUAUCAUAUCCAGGUGUGAGUGAGGCUGUAAUAACUUGAGUGAGAGACAUUUCCCCACACUUUUUGCUUUGUUGAUGAUUAGUUAUGUUCAUUGUCUGCUCUGUUUUUUAUUUUACCUCUUGCAACCAUUAUCAGCUGAAAGCCUCAGCAGUAAAAAUGCCCUCCCACUCCUGAUUUCUGCAUAGGCUGGUAUGUCUAUUGCAGUUGCUUCCCAGCCAUCAAGAGUUAGGCUCCAUCAUCUGAGAUGGUGUCUCAUUGAAUUGUACAAGUUUCUUCUGCCCUCGUUGCUGAACAUACAUUCCCCAUCCACACACACACACACAUACACACUUCACCUCAAGGCGUCACAGCUCUUGGCGAUUUUGCUGUCAUCUCCUCAUCUGAUCCACCAAGCUGAGCUGUCUGCAACUGGAAUUGCUUUGAUUAUCUUCCAGAUUCCCAGUUGUUGUAAUUCUUCAGAAGCAGAUGGUAACGUGCACUGGGAAGGAAAGAACCAAUUCAAUAUCUGAUUCAAUUUUAUAUAUAUUUAAGGUAAUUCUUUUUCUCCUUAGGAGUCAAUAACUUCAAUCCAUAGAGAUUCAAGGGAAAUCUGAUAGAAAAUGCAUUUUAGUAGACUCAAGAAAACAUUUUAGAGAAAUGAUGGAAAGUAAUUUAUAGUCAUUGUUUGAAAUUGUACUUCCAUAAUUGUACUUUCCAAGUGCUUAGUACAUUGCUCUGCACAUAGUGAGCACUUGAUAAUACUACUGAAUGAAUGAAUCAUCUAAUGAACACAUAUGAAAAUGAUUUAAAGUGUUUGCACAAAUUCUGGUUCAACCCUUUCAGGCAUACAAUAAAUGUUAUCCCCCUCCUGCAGCACAGCAUAGUGGAUAGAGCACAGGCCUGGAGUCAGAAAG
This is a long non-coding RNA of Ornithorhynchus anatinus (platypus), 2262 nucleotides long. RefSeq lists it as uncharacterized. NCBI's taxonomy places the organism in Eukaryota, Metazoa, Chordata, Mammalia, Monotremata, Ornithorhynchidae. The transcript is spliced from 6 exons. The record is from RefSeq and is a predicted model, not a curated record.